Molecule: ribosomal RNA, 497 nt
Filed under: uncultured bacterium
Lineage: Bacteria
Description: partial 16S ribosomal RNA
Rfam family: Bacterial small subunit ribosomal RNA
Source: RNAcentral
GAUGAACGCUGGCGGCGUGCCUAAUACAUGCCAGUCGAGCGAACGGACGAGAAGCUUGCUUCUCUGAUGUUAGCGGCGGACGGGUGAGUAACACGUGGAUAACCUACCUAUAAGACUGGGAUAACUUCGGGAAACCGGAGCUAAUACCGGAUGAUAUUUUGAACCGCAUGGUUCUAAAGUGAAAGACGGUCUUGCUGUCACUUAUAGAUGGAUCCGCGCUGCAUUAGCUAGUUGGUAAGGUAACGGCUUACCAAGGCAACGAUGCAUAGCCGACCUGAGAGGGUGAUCGGCCACACUGGAACUGAGACACGGUCCAGACUCCUACGGGAGGCAGCAGUAGGGAAUCUUCCGCAAUGGGCGAAAGCCUGACGGAGCAACGCCGCGUGAGUGAUGAAGGUCUUCGGAUCGUAAAACUCUGUUAUUAGGGAAGAACAUAUGUGUAAGUAACUGUGCACAUCUUGACGGUACCUAAUCAGAGAGCCACGGCUAACUACGUG